GGGACCCUACCGUGCUUAGGCUCUCUAACUGCGACCCCAGUUAGGCGGG
This 49-nucleotide ribosomal RNA is filed under the name Capsicum annuum. RNAcentral describes it as "partial 26S ribosomal RNA". The record is from RNAcentral. Lineage: Eukaryota; Viridiplantae; Streptophyta; Magnoliopsida; Solanales; Solanaceae.